RNAcentral lists this unclassified non-coding RNA (434 nucleotides) under soil metagenome. RNAcentral's name for it is "partial contains 5.8S ribosomal RNA, internal transcribed spacer 2, and large subunit ribosomal RNA". The stretch from base 1 to 120 matches the Rfam family "5.8S ribosomal RNA", at positions 35 to 154 of the family's 154-position model. The record is from RNAcentral.
GAUGAAGAACGCAGCGAAAUGCGAUACGUAAUGUGAAUUGCAGAAUUCAGUGAAUCAUCGAAUCUUUGAACGCAUAUUGCGCUCUUUGGUAUUCCGAAGAGCAUGCUUGUUUGAGUAUCAGUAAACACCUCAAAGCUUUUGGAUUUUUUAAUCGAAAAGCUUUGGACUUGAGCAAUCCCAACACCAAUCUUUUUGAGAUCGGUGGCGGGUUGCUUGAAAUGCAGGUGCAGCUGGACAUUCUCCUGAGCUAAAAGCAUAUUCAUUUAGUCCCGUCAAACGGAUUAUUACUUUUGCUGCAGCUAACAUAAAGGGAGUUUGACCGUAUUGGCUGACUGAUGCAGGAUUUCACAAGGGUCGGCAACGAUUCUUGUUAAACUCGAUCUUAAAUCAAGUAAGACUACCCGCUGAACUUAAGCAUAUCAAUAAGCGGAGGA